This 498-nucleotide long non-coding RNA is filed under the name Helianthus annuus (common sunflower). Lineage: Eukaryota; Viridiplantae; Streptophyta; Magnoliopsida; Asterales; Asteraceae. The record is from RNAcentral.
GGGAUUUCCCCUUUCUAAACAUUUCACUCAUUUGAUUCUGUAUGUUGAUGGAAUGAAAUUUGCAACCCUACCUACCCACCUUGUUCCUCUCUCUCACACAACCCAAACAACCACCGGCCUCACGACACCCCCUGAGAUCCGAACCCCUACGCCCUUGCAACUUCAUCGCUACAGUUCCCCAUAGCCGAUGAUGAUGAUGAUGGUCAUCCAGAUCCGCAAGUAGAAGUGGUAGCCAUCCAGAUCCGCAACUUCAUCACAGGCGUUCGACCACCGUUGGCCACCACCCCUCUACUUUAUCGCCGCCCACCUCACCCCAAACCGACACCACCACUGGUAGCCAUCCAGAUCCGCAAGUAGAAGUGGCGGCGACACAUUAGAAGAUUCGAGUUCUUGAGCAAAGGUGAUGAUAACAAGGAAGGCAGAAGCAUGGCAAUAAACGACAAAUACAUAGCUGCUCAUUCCAUAUGAAGAGAUUGAAUCAGCCACCAACAACUUUGC